GACGUAGGGUGCAAGCGUUGUCCGGAUUUAUUGGGCGUAAAGAGCUCGUAGGCGGCUUGUUGCGUCGACUGUGAAAACCCGCGGCUUAACCGCGGGCUUGCAGUUGAUACGGGCAGGCUAGAGUUCGGUAGGGGAGACUGGAAUUCCUGGUGUAGCGGUGAAAUGCGCAGAUAUCAGGAGGAACACCGGUGGCGAAGGCGGGUCUCUGGGCCGUGACUGACGCUGAGACGCGAAAGCGUGGGGAGCAAACAGG
This 253-nucleotide ribosomal RNA is filed under the name uncultured bacterium. Its description in RNAcentral is "partial 16S ribosomal RNA". It matches the Rfam family "Bacterial small subunit ribosomal RNA", at positions 524 to 776 of the family's 1533-position model. The record is from RNAcentral.